GAUGAACGCUGGCUACAGGCUUAACACAUGCAAGUCGAGGGGAAACGACGGGGAAGCUUGCUUCCCCGGGCGUCGACCGGCGCACGGGUGAGUAACGCGUAUCCAACCUGCCUCUGACUGAGGGAUAACCCGUCGAAAGUCGGCCUAAUACCUCAUGGCAUCGUCUGCGGGCAUCCAACGACGAUUAAAGAUUUCAUCGGUCAGGGAUGGGGAUGCGUCUGAUUAGCUUGUUGGCGGGGUAACGGCCCACCAAGGCUACGAUCAGUAGGGGUUCUGAGAGGAAGGUCCCCCACAUUGGAACUGCGACACGGUCCAAACUCCUACGGGAGGCAGCAGUGCGGAAUAUUGGUCAAUGGGCGGGAGCCUGAACCAGCCAAGUAGCGUGCAGGAUGACGGCCCUAUGGGUUGUAAACUGCUUUUAUGCGGGGAUAAAGUGAGGGACGUGUCCUUCAUUGCAGGUACCGCAUGAAUAAGGACCGGCUAAUUCCGUG
RNAcentral lists this ribosomal RNA (491 nucleotides) under uncultured bacterium. RNAcentral describes it as "partial 16S ribosomal RNA". It matches the Rfam family "Bacterial small subunit ribosomal RNA", at positions 28 to 507 of the family's 1533-position model. The record is from RNAcentral.